UGGGGAAUCUUGCACAAUGGGCGAAAGCCUGAUGCAGCAACGCCGCGUGCGGGAAGACAGCCCUAGGGUUGUAAACCGCUUUCAGCAGGGAAGAAACUGACGGUACCUGCAGAAGAAGAUGCGGCCAACUACGUGCCAGCAGCCGCGGUGACACGUAGGCAUCAAGCGUUAUCCGGAUUUAUUGGGCGUAAAGAGCUCGUAGGCGGUUCGGUAAGUCGGGUGUGAAAACUCUGGGCUCAACCCAGAGAGGCCACUCGAUACUGCUGUGACUAGAGUGCGGUAGGGGAGCAGGGAAUUCCUGGUGUAGCGGUGAAAUGCGCAGAUAUCAGGAGGAACACCAGUGGCGAAGGCGCUGCUCUGGGCUGUAACUGACGCUGAGGAGCGAAAGCAUGGGUAGCAAACAGGAUUAGAUACCCUGGUAGUCCAUGCCGUAAACGUUGGGCACUAGGUGUGGGUCUCAACCAACGAGAUCCGCGCCGUCGCUAACGCAUUAAGUGCCCGCCUGGGAGUACGGUCGCAAGAC
Molecule: ribosomal RNA, 523 nt
Filed under: uncultured bacterium
Lineage: Bacteria
Description: bacterial SSU rRNA
Rfam family: Bacterial small subunit ribosomal RNA
Source: RNAcentral